This 97-nucleotide ribosomal RNA is filed under the name Acanthosepion pharaonis. The record is from RNAcentral. Lineage: Eukaryota; Metazoa; Mollusca; Cephalopoda; Sepiida; Sepiidae.
GUUGAAACACUGUUUCUCUUACAGCCACCGAAGUUAAGCAACGUCGAGUCUAGUCAGUACUUAGAUGGGUGACCGCUUUGGAAUACCAGGUGCUGUU